CCUACGGGUGGCAGCAGUGGGGAAUAUUGCACAAUGGGGGAAACCCUGAUGCAGCAACGCCGCGUGAAGGAAGACGGUUUUCGGAUUGUACACUUCUAUCAAUAGGGAAGAAAGAAAUGACGGUACCUAAAUAAGAAGCCCCGGCUAACUACGUGCCAGCAGCCGCGGUAAUACGUAGGGGGCAAGCGUUAUCCGGAAUUACUGGGUGUAAAGGGAGAGUAGGCGGCAAGGUAAGCGUCAUGUGAAAGCCUUAAGCUUAACUUAAGGAUGGCAUAACGAACUUUCUAGCUAGAGUACAGGAGAGGAAAGCGGAAUUCCUAGUGUAGCGGUGAAAUGCGUAGAUAUUAGGAAGAACACCAGUGGCGAAGGCGGCUUUCUGGACUGAAACUGACGCUGAGGGUCGAAAGCGUGGGGAGCGAACAGGAUUAGAUACCCCAGUAGUC
Molecule: ribosomal RNA, 443 nt
Filed under: uncultured bacterium
Lineage: Bacteria
Description: partial 16S ribosomal RNA
Rfam family: Bacterial small subunit ribosomal RNA
Source: RNAcentral